This is a long non-coding RNA of Zingiber officinale, 1177 nucleotides long. RefSeq lists it as uncharacterized. The record is from RefSeq and is a predicted model, not a curated record. The transcript has 3 exons. NCBI's taxonomy places the organism in Eukaryota, Viridiplantae, Streptophyta, Magnoliopsida, Zingiberales, Zingiberaceae.
UCUUCCCUGAUGCCUCUCACCUCUUCGACGCGGCAAUCCCGCCGCUCACCUCUCUGACGCCACAAUCUCGAGUUCGCCGGCAUUGAUCUGCUCAUUGUUGGCCGAACUUUCCAUCUCCACGGAUCGUCGGACGUUUGCCGCGGUUGUCCUUCUCUCCGAGUCGCUGCCCCGUGCCUAGCCAUCCUCACCACCCGAUCUCCUUCGCCCUCUCCUUUCUUUCGGCAUUGUCGCAGACCACCAUGUGCCGACGCUUGGUCGCCACUCCCGAAUGUUGUCGAUCUCCACGGCUAAUAGCACCGAUCGUGGCCACGAUGGGGAGGAAUCCAGCUCUCUCCUGAUCCCUCUUUCUCUCGAUCCAGCAGCACCGCAUAUUCAUUGGACGUCGCCGAUCGAGCUCUCUGUUCCCGAUCCCCACUGUUGUGCCCUAGUGCAGUUGUCGAUCUCCUCUGCCUUGGACCGACAUCAAGUUGGUCAGAAAGGAAGUUGCGGGUCUGGGUUUGUGGGGUAACCGGUGGUUGCAUUUCCAUUUGAUAGUGGCGCUUCUUGGUCCUAGCAGCUACUCCUUGCAGCAGUAACCAUACCUGGUUGAGGAUCUAACAGAGAGUAGCUGUGAGAUUGAGGACUUUGAAUUAAGACAAAAGUACGUGGGAUUGUUUAGCACGAUCGACAGAUAAAGGAGGGUACUUCUUGCUUUAUCUCUUUAGUACAUUGUUCUUAGUGCAUGAGCUAUACCUUCGGAUAGUUCCUGUAUUUAUCUUAACUCCACUCGUAUUUUUCCUGCGUUUGAUACUUUCACUCAAUCUUUGAGCUACUCAUUUCUGUAUCUAUACAGUCUCUCGUUACUAUUUAUGAUAUUUAGCAGAUACUAGUUAUCAGAUACUAGAUAUUGGAUACCAGAUACUAGACACCAUGUUUACCUAUUUUGACUAUUGUGUAUUUAUGUUUUGUAUUGAGCAUGCGGCUUCAUGUAGCAUACCUGAUUUCUGUUAUAUAUAUAGAUGAUGAAUGUUGCAUCUUGCGCAUCAUGUCAUUACAUGCAUACUAACGACCAUUGUCUCUCUUAUGGUGUGAGAGAGUCGUCAGUCAGGGCCGCACGCUCGGUCACUCAUGGGUAGUGGUAGUUGGAGCGUGCCGCUUGUCCUGUCUUCCCCACCCCCCCCCCACACACUCGCACACU